RNAcentral lists this unclassified non-coding RNA (205 nucleotides) under Cuspidothrix issatschenkoi NRERC-662. Its description in RNAcentral is "partial 16S-23S ribosomal RNA intergenic spacer". The record is from RNAcentral. Lineage: Bacteria; Bacillati; Cyanobacteriota; Cyanophyceae; Nostocales; Aphanizomenonaceae. RNAcentral also lists the same sequence under 1 other name.
UAUGCAGUUUUCAAGGUUCUGACUGGAACUUAUUCCAGCAGUCUAACUUUUGUUAGUUGCUGUUGUUUUCCAAUAGGUUUUUUUAGUUUGAACUAAGCCAAAUAAUACUUUGAAAGAUUUCCCCAAUCUCGACCGACCUAGGUUAGACCAAUUUAGUUUGUUAUGGUAAUUUCCUUAACAUUUCUAAAUGGAUUAGGUCUCCCUA